This 483-nucleotide ribosomal RNA is filed under the name uncultured bacterium. RNAcentral describes it as "partial 16S ribosomal RNA". It matches the Rfam family "Bacterial small subunit ribosomal RNA", at positions 30 to 506 of the family's 1533-position model. The record is from RNAcentral.
AUUGAACGCUGGCGGCAGGCCUAACACAUGCAAGUCGAGUGGAUGAAGGGAGCUUGCUCCUGGAUUCAGCGGCGGACGGGUGAGUAAUGCCUAGGAAUCUGCCUGGUAGUGGGGGAUAACGUCCGGAAACGGGCGCUAAUACCGCAUACGUCCUGAGGGAGAAAGUGGGGGAUCUUCGGACCUCACGCUAUCAGAUGAGCCUAGGUCGGAUUAGCUAGUUGGUGGGGUAAAGGCCUACCAAGGCGACGAUCCGUAACUGGUCUGAGAGGAUGAUCAGUCACACUGGAACUGAGACACGGUCCAGCCCCCUACGGGAGGCAGCAGGGGGGAAUAUUGGACAAGGGGCAAAAGCCUGAUCCAGCCAUGCCGGGUGUGUGAAGAAGGUCUUCGGUUUGUAAAGCACUUUAAGUUGGGAGGAAGGGCAGUAAGUUAAUACCUUGCUGUUUUGACGUUACCAACAGAAUAAGCACCGGCUAACUUCGU